GAAGGGCGCAGCUUAGCGGUAGAGUGCGUGCUUAGCAUGCACGAGGUCCUAGGUUCAAUUCCCAGUCCCUCCA
Molecule: non-coding RNA, 73 nt
Organism: Camelus ferus (Wild Bactrian camel)
Lineage: Eukaryota; Metazoa; Chordata; Mammalia; Artiodactyla; Camelidae
Source: Rfam